AUUGAACGCUGGCGGCAGGCCUAACACAUGCAAGUCGAGCGGCAGCACAAGUAAGUUUACUUAUGAGGUGGCGAGCGGCGGACGGGUGAGUAAUGCCUAGGGAUCUGCCCAGUCGAGGGGGAUAACAGUUGGAAACGACUGCUAAUACCGCAUACGCCCUACGGGGGAAAGAGGGGGACCUUCGGGCCUCUCGCGAUUGGAUGAACCUAGGUGGGAUUAGCUAGUUGGUGAGGUAAUGGCUCACCAAGGCGACGAUCCCUAGCUGUUCUGAGAGGAUGAUCAGCCACACUGGGACUGAGACACGGCCCAGACUCCUACGGGAGGCAGCAGUGGGGAAUAUUGCACAAUGGGGGAAACCCUGAUGCAGCCAUGCCGCGUGUGUGAAGAAGGCCUUCGGGUUGUAAAGCACUUUCAGUAGGGAGGAAAGGGGUGAGUCUUAAUACGGCUCAUCUGUGACGUUACCUACAGAAGAAGGUCUGGCUAACUCCGUGCCAGCAGCCGCGGUAAUGCGGAGGGUCCGAGCGUUAAUCGGAAUUACUGGGCGUAAAGCGUGCGCAGGCGGUUUGUUAAGCGAGAUGUGAAAGCCCUGGGCUCAACCUAGGAAUAGCAUUUCGAACUGGCGAACUAGAGUCUUGUAGAGGGGGGUAGAAUUCCAGGUGUAGCGGUGAAAUGCGUAGAGAUCUGGAGGAAUACCGGUGGCGAAGGCGGCCCCCUGGACAAAGACUGACGCUCAUGCACGAAAGCGUGGGGAGCAAACAAAAUUAGAUACCCUGGUAGUCCACGCCGUAAACGACCCAAAUGGGAGUUUGGUGUCUUGAACACUGGGCUCUCGAGCUAACGCAUUAAGUAGACCGCCUGGGGAGUACGGCCGCAAGGUUAAAACUCAAAUGAAUUGACGGGGGCCCGCACAAGCGGUGGAGCAUGUGGUUUAAUUCGAUGCAACGCGAAGAACCUUACCUACUCUUGACAUCCACAGAAGACUGCAGAGAUGCGGUUGUGCCUUCGGGAACUGUGAGACAGGUGCUGCAUGGCUGUCGUCAGCUCGUGUUGUGAAAUGUUGGGUUAAGUCCCGCAACGAGCGCAACCCCUAUCCUUAUUUGCCAGCACGUAAUGGUGGGAACUCUAGGGAGACUGCCGGUGAUAAACCGGAGGAAGGUGGGGACGACGUCAAGUCAUCAUGGCCCUUACGAGUAGGGCUACACACGUGCUACAAUGGCGAGUACAGAGGGUUGCAAAGCCGCGAGGUGGAGCUAAUCUCACAAAGCUCGUCGUAGUCCGGAUUGGAGUCUGCAACUCGACUCCAUGAAGUCGGAAUCGCUAGUAAUCGUGGAUCAGAAUGCCACGGUGAAUACGUUCCCGGGCCUUGUACACACCGCCCGUCACACCAUGGGAGUGGGCUGCAAAAGAAGUGGGUAGCUUAACCUUCGGGGGGGCGCUCACCACUUUGUGGUUCAU
RNAcentral lists this ribosomal RNA (1455 nucleotides) under uncultured bacterium. RNAcentral describes it as "bacterial SSU rRNA". It matches the Rfam family "Bacterial small subunit ribosomal RNA". The record is from RNAcentral.